RNAcentral lists this ribosomal RNA (250 nucleotides) under uncultured prokaryote. RNAcentral describes it as "partial 16S ribosomal RNA". It matches the Rfam family "Bacterial small subunit ribosomal RNA", at positions 524 to 773 of the family's 1533-position model. The record is from RNAcentral.
CACGUAAGGUGCAAGCGUUGUUCGGAAUCAUUGGGCGUAAAGGGCAUGUAGGCGGCGCAGCAAGUCUGGAGUGAAAGGCAGAAGCUCAACUUCUGGACUGCUUUGGAAACUGCUGCGCUGGAGUCGCUGAGGGGGAGCCGGAAUUCCAGGCGUAGGGGUGAAAUCUGUAGAUAUCUGGAAGAACACCAAUGGCGAAGGCAGGCUUCCAGCAGGCGACUGACGCUGAGGUGCGAAGGUGCGGGUAGCGAAC